GACUUUGUUAUAUAAGAGCCACCAGUAGAUGGCCACUUCCACAACCAGAGCGGGGACAGAACUUCAGAAACAGUCCCGGAGCACUCUGUAUGGCAGACCAUCACAGACGUAAAGGCCAGUGUGCUUAUCUGGAGACCAAAGAUUAUCCUUGCCCGGUCAAUAUGACGGCCUGGAGCCCUUUCUGGGAAGAUACUGAAUGAGCUGAUGGCUCCCAGGAAGAAUGUCCCUGCAGUUCACACCUGAUUGCAAAAUACUCCCCCGGCUGCCAGGAGCCUCACUGGUGAAAGCACUUAGCACUGUCUCCAGGGCUGAUCUGAAGGCUAUAAUUCGUAACUGAGAAGUUUCUCCUGGAUG
Molecule: long non-coding RNA, 354 nt
Organism: Suricata suricatta (meerkat)
Lineage: Eukaryota; Metazoa; Chordata; Mammalia; Carnivora; Herpestidae
Exons: 3
Source: RefSeq, a predicted model, not a curated record